GGACAACCACGAAGAAAUGGACAAAUUCUCAGAAACGUACAACCUUCCAAGACUGAACCAUGAAGAAAUAGAAAAUAUGAACAGACCAGUAACAAGUAAUGAAAGUGAAACUGUUAUUAGAAAUCUUUAAACAAGCAAAACUCCAGACAAGAUGGCUUUACAGGCGAGUACUACCAAACAUUUAGAGAAGAGCUAACACUGAUCCUUCUCAAACUCUUCCA
This is a long non-coding RNA of Aethalodelphis obliquidens (Pacific white-sided dolphin), 221 nucleotides long. RefSeq lists it as uncharacterized. The record is from RefSeq and is a predicted model, not a curated record. The transcript has 3 exons. Lineage: Eukaryota; Metazoa; Chordata; Mammalia; Artiodactyla; Delphinidae.